AGUGAACGCUGGCGGUAGGCCUAACACAUGCAAGUCGAACGGCAGCACAGUAAGAGCUUGCUCUUACGGGUGGCGAGUGGCGGACGGGUGAGGAAUACAUCGGAAUCUACUUUUUCGUGGGGGAUAACGUAGGGAAACUUACGCUAAUACCGCAUACGACCUACGGGUGAAAGCAGGGGAUCUUCGGACCUUGCGCGAUUGAAUGAGCCGAUGUCGGAUUAGCUAGUUGGCGGGGUAAAGGCCCACCAAGGCGACGAUCCGUAGCUGGUCUGAGAGGAUGAUCAGCCACACUGGAACUGAGACACGGUCCAGACUCCUACGGGAGGCAGCAGUGGGGAAUAUUGGACAAUGGGCGCAAGCCUGAUCCAGCCAUACCGCGUGUGUGAAGAAGGCCUUCGGGUUGUAAAGCCCUUUUGUUGGGAAAGAAAAGCAGCAGGUUAAUACCCCGCUGUUCUGACGUUACCCAAAGAAUAAGCACCGGCUAACUUCGUG
Molecule: ribosomal RNA, 492 nt
Filed under: uncultured bacterium
Lineage: Bacteria
Description: partial 16S ribosomal RNA
Rfam family: Bacterial small subunit ribosomal RNA
Source: RNAcentral